This is a long non-coding RNA of Camelina sativa (false flax), 1040 nucleotides long. RefSeq lists it as uncharacterized. NCBI's taxonomy places the organism in Eukaryota, Viridiplantae, Streptophyta, Magnoliopsida, Brassicales, Brassicaceae. The record is from RefSeq and is a predicted model, not a curated record.
UACUAAGCAUCGAUCGUUAUAUAAGAUGUUUUAGAUUCAUUUAGAAACCCAUGUGUGUCAACUUUUGAUUGGCUGGUAGAAAAAAUAUAUAUAUAUUUUUCUCUCUGUCGUCUCUCUCGUCCUCUCUCUUUCUCGUCUCUCUUUUUUUUUGUUAAAUUAAUUGUGAAAGCAGUUGAUUCUGAAUUUUUGUACCACCUCAAAGAAAAAAUAAAAAACAGAGAAUAGUCUCUCUUUCGUCUCUCAGAUUGAUCGAUGGCAAAAGCUUUGGAGAAGAAGCGAAGAAUUGAGAGGUGAAAUAAUCGAAAAAGCUGGGUUGGUUCAGGCUCAAUGUCAAGAACUUUGCUACUACUAGUGAGCGUUCGUUUAGCAAUUAUGCACCUCAAGUUGAUCAGACCAAAGACAAUCUUGUUUCUGACAUAUUGAUUGAUUAUUUUGGUUCUCACUUGUUCUCAAAGUCUGAGAUUGUUAGGUUGGCUAGUCUUUUUGUUUCCGUUGAAAGUAUGAACAAUACUUGAUUGCAGCAAAACAAUACUUGAUGCUUGAAAGUAAGGUAAAAUUUCCUCAAAAUGUUUGAGAUUAGUCAUUUUUUCCUUGAGCAACAGGUCAAGGCCUUUCCAAGUAUAAAACAUAUGCAAGAUCACCCUACUGAAACAGCUAAGAACUUUAUGAUUGAUGGGCAUUGCGGUUCUGUUUCUUUCCUCUGUUUUUGGUUGUGUUUGAGACUUCAAAUCUACAUGAUGUGAAUAGGCUCAAUUCUCCCAAGUGAGGCCAGUUGCAAUGCCACCAUCUGUUGGUUCCUGCAUGCCAAUGUAUCCUCGGGUGGUCCUGGUAUUGGACAACAAAUGUUCUAUGGUCAGGCCCCUCUUAACAUGAUUCCUCCCCAAGUAAUUCAUCAUGUUUGCUCUACUUUAAGUAGCUGUGUGCAAUUUUGCACAAAGAUAUUUGGUUUAUGGGACUUUAAAGUAAUGUAGUGGUCACAGCUCACCAUAUAUGUAGCUACUUUUCCAUAAACUAAUGAAGAUCUUUGAUGCUGCGGAAAA